UCUGGGUGCCGCGUGGCGCUAUCUCAUGAACCUCCCCAGGGCAGGAAUGCAGCAAGGAUAAGUGGGCUCUAGCGGGUGCGCGGUCACCCUUUUUU
RNAcentral lists this signal recognition particle RNA (95 nucleotides) under Corynebacterium sp. RNAcentral describes it as "signal recognition particle sRNA small type". It matches the Rfam family "Bacterial small signal recognition particle RNA". Rfam says of the family: The signal recognition particle (SRP) is a universally conserved ribonucleoprotein involved in the co-translational targeting of proteins to membranes. Archaeal SRP consists of a 7S RNA and homologues of the eukaryotic SRP19 and SRP54 proteins. The record is from RNAcentral. Lineage: Bacteria; Bacillati; Actinomycetota; Actinomycetes; Mycobacteriales; Corynebacteriaceae.